CUUUUUUAAAUUUCACAAAUAUCAACAUCGAAAUGUGUCGCUACUGCACCAUAUACACGGCUGGCUUCGCUACAUGUGAUGCACUCACAGCCGCCAUCUUCAUAGGCUUCUAAAUCCGCUUCAUCGCAUGUACUCAGAGCCAACAAUUACUACACCAUAACAUCAGAGAACAAAUGGAAUAUAUCACCAUUCAACGUUACGUUGUUGAAGACUUCUGUGACCCAUAAGUGACCCCCCCCCUUCGCUGCGGGCCUCCGUUAAACACCAAGCAGAGUCUCCCGUGUAUGUUCUCUCCAUGUUGUCUCGCUUCGUCCUGCCGCUCCCAGUGCUGCAGUCCACAGCGCGCAUGAUCACAAAGGUCAAGGAGAGGCUAGUUCUAGCACACCUCAGACCCUUAGUGUGCCCAUCACAGGACCCCUUACAGUUUGCAUAUCAGCCCCAUGUUGGGGUUAAUGAUGCAAUCAUCUACCUGCUGCAGGAAGCCUUCUCCUCCCUGGAUGGACUCAACACCUCAGUCCACUUCAUGUUCUUUGACUUCUCAACACCAUCCAGCCCAGGCUGCUGAAGGCCAAACUGGAGAACAUGCAGGUGGAUUCUGCCUGCGUCAUGUGGGUUGAAGCCUAUCUGACGUGCAGACGGCAAUAUGUGGUGGGGAGAACUACCUGCAGCUGAACGUGGCGAAGAUGAAAGAGAUGGUGGCGGACUUCAGGAGGAACAAGCCUCGCCCUCUCCAGUCUGCAUUGGUGGGACAGACGUUGACAUUGUGGAUACAUACAAAUACCUGGGUGUGGUGCUGGACAGUAUACUGGACUGGACUACAAACACAGAGGCAGUCUAUGAAGGGCCUGAGCCAGCUUUACUUCCUGAGGAGGUUCAGGUCCUUCAAUGUCUGCAAUCAGAUGCUCCAGAUGUUCUAUCAGCCUGUUGUUGGGAGCACCAUCUUCUUCACACUGGUGUCCUGGGAUGCGGGCAUCAAAACAAAGGAUGCAAACAGACUGAAUAAACUGUUGUUAAACUGUCUGUUGUUGGCUCUGAGCUUGUUGACCCUGGUGGAGGUGGUGGAGGACAGGAUGCUGGUGAAACUGCUGGCGAUAGUGGACAAAGUCUCUCACCCCCUCCACAAAACUGAAGAGCAGCUUCACCCAUUCAACCCCGCUGCCUUAAAGACCAGCACAGGAUAUCAUUCCUACCUGCUGACAUCAGACUUUAUAUUGCUCACAUAACAAAACACAAAACACACACUUAACUAUUGAGCUUUACAUUAUUUCUGCACAUAACCCUGCAUUUGUACAUAAACCUGUACCUUCACUCUUGCUCUUUAUGUUUCAGUUACCUCAACAUUUCAUUUUAUUUACCUCAAUAUUUUUAUUUGUAUUAUAUUUCAUAACUAGCAUUUUAUUGUAUAUAGUAAUCUAUAGUUAGGAACGUUCUAUUUUAUUCUAUUGUUUUCGAUGCAUAUUGUAUAUAGUACUUUUUGUUUCUUAUUGCCUCUACAUUUGCCCUAAUAUUUUUAUUGUAUUUGUACUGAAUGUACCUGCUGCUAUUAUGACCAAUGGCAUGUCUUUGUACUCUUAUGAGGACAAUUGCCAGUUCUCAUUCGCUAUGGGCAGAAGGCAUUUGUGGAAUGGUCCCCCCCGUCUGAGUCACAGUGCUGUGUCGGUGGGCUUGUGUCCUUAAUGGUUGCAGACGGUUGAAGUUCCUGCUAACUACUUCUGAGUGGAAUUCUAUACCUUUACGCUUUUAUCUUAACAUGGCUGUGACAGGAAAUGCAUGUGUGAGCUUCCUUCCUGACUCCAGAAUGUUUCUACAGGAAAAGAAGCAAUGAAGACUUUAUAAGAUGUAGACCCUAAGGUUUAGAAGCAGCCACAGUCACUCUGCCACAGCCAACAACAGACAAUUCCCACACUCCCCCAACGCAAAGAAUGUUUCCUGUCUAACUGAGCUGCAAAGCAUUUUGCUCAACAGAUCACGUUUUUUAAUGUUGAAGUCAGCCCGAGGCAGGAGAGAAAAAAAAAAAGAGAACAAGUAACAAAUUGAAAUUCAAAAUGAAUAGGAAUGGUGGACUCUGCCUCUAGCCAUUAAAACUACCAUGAAAAGAAUGAAUUCCUGAAUGUAAACACACUCAGUGACGUGCUGAAAAUUAUAAAGCAUAUGGGGCUGGAAAACUUUCUCACUUUAAUUUAAUUGUAACUCAAGAACACCGACAAAAGAAAGAAAAUGUCAAAACAAGAGGAGG
This is a long non-coding RNA of Acanthopagrus latus (yellowfin seabream), 2236 nucleotides long. RefSeq lists it as uncharacterized. NCBI's taxonomy places the organism in Eukaryota, Metazoa, Chordata, Actinopteri, Spariformes, Sparidae. The record is from RefSeq and is a predicted model, not a curated record. The transcript has 3 exons.